GGUUUUAUAUUCAAUUAUGAUUUUAGACUGCAAUUCUGAAGGUGUAAUUUUUUUACUAAGGCCU
RNAcentral lists this transfer RNA (64 nucleotides) under Caryanda elegans. RNAcentral describes it as "tRNA-Cys". Lineage: Eukaryota; Metazoa; Arthropoda; Insecta; Orthoptera; Acrididae. The record is from RNAcentral.